GUUUUUUUGAAAAUAAUUUAAAGUUUAAUUUGCCCCCUGAAUUAAAAUUUAAAGGGCUGCAGUAUAUUGACUGUACAAAGGUAGCAUAGUCAUUAGUCUUUUAAUUGGAGACUUGUAUGAAUGAUUUGAUGAAAUAUAAACUGUCUCUUUAUUAAUAAUAGAAUUUAAUUUUUUAGUUAAAAAGCUAAAAUUUUUAUAAAAGACGAGAAGACCCUAUAGAGUUUAAUUUUUUAAUUUUUGUAAAUAUUAUAUAAAAAUUAUAAUUUAUAAAAAUUAAAAAAUUUUGUUGGGGUGAUAGAAAAAUUUAAAAAACUUUUUUUAAAAAAUUAACAUUAAUUUAUGAAUUUUUGAUCCAUAAUUUAUGAUUAAAAGAUUAAAUUACCUUAGGGAUAACAGCGUAAUUUUUUUUUUUAGUUCAAAUAAAAAAAAAAGUUUGCGACCUCGAUGUUGGAUUAAAAUAAAAUUUAAAUGCAAAAGUUUAAAAUUUUGAUCUGUUCGAUCAUUAAAAUCUU
Molecule: ribosomal RNA, 512 nt
Filed under: Cepora nerissa (common gull)
Lineage: Eukaryota; Metazoa; Arthropoda; Insecta; Lepidoptera; Pieridae
Description: partial 16S ribosomal RNA
Source: RNAcentral